GACGAACCGUGCGAACGUUGUUCGGAUUCACUGGGCUUAAAGGGCGCGUAGGCGGCCGGCCAAGUCGGGGGUGAAAUCGUUCCGCUUAACGGGACCAUUGCCUCCGAUACUGGCCGGCUGGAGGGAGGUAGGGGUGCGCGGAACUUCCGGUGGAGCGGUGAAAUGCGUAGAUAUCGGAAGGAACGCCGGUGGCGAAAGCGGCGCACUGGAUCUCUUCUGACGCUGAGGCGCGAAAGCCAGGGGAGCAAACGGG
RNAcentral lists this ribosomal RNA (253 nucleotides) under uncultured bacterium. RNAcentral's name for it is "partial 16S ribosomal RNA". It matches the Rfam family "Bacterial small subunit ribosomal RNA", at positions 524 to 776 of the family's 1533-position model. The record is from RNAcentral.